UGGGGAAUAUUGCGCAAUGGGCGGAAGCCUGACGCAGCGACGCCGCGUGGGGGAUGACGGCCUUCGGGUUGUAAACCUCUUUCAGCGCCGAAGAAGCGGAAGUGACGGUAGGCGCAGAAGAAGCACGGGCUAACUACGUGCCAGCAGCCGCGGUAAUACGUAGGGUGCAAGCGUUGUCCGGAAUUAUUGGGCGUAAAGAGCUCGUAGGCGGCUUGUCGCGUCGGAUGUGAAAUCCCGGGGCUCAACCCUGGGUCUGCAUUCGAUACGGGCAGGCUAGAGUUCGGUAGUGGGGACUGGAAUUCCUGGUGUAGCGGUGAAAUGCGCAGAUAUCAGGGGGAACACCGGUGGCGAAGGCGGGUCUCUGGGCCGAUACUGACGCUGAGGAGCGAAAGCGUGGGGAGCGAACAGG
RNAcentral lists this ribosomal RNA (409 nucleotides) under Bacillota bacterium. RNAcentral describes it as "Firmicutes bacterium partial 16S ribosomal RNA". It matches the Rfam family "Bacterial small subunit ribosomal RNA", at positions 355 to 776 of the family's 1533-position model. The record is from RNAcentral. Lineage: Bacteria; Bacillati; Bacillota.